Molecule: ribosomal RNA, 253 nt
Filed under: uncultured bacterium
Lineage: Bacteria
Description: partial 16S ribosomal RNA
Rfam family: Bacterial small subunit ribosomal RNA
Source: RNAcentral
UACGGAGGGGGUUAGCGCUGUUCGGAAUUACUGGGCGUAAAGCGCGCGUAGGCGGACCAGAAAGUUGGGGGUGAAAUCCCGGGGCUCAACCCCGGAACGGCCUCCAAAACUCCUGGUCUUGAGUUCGAGAGAGGUGAGUGGAAUUCCGAGUGUAGAGGUGAAAUUCGUAGAUAUUCGGAGGAACACCAGUGGCGAAGGCGGCUCACUGGCUCGAUACUGACGCUGAGGUGCGAAAGUGUGGGGAGCAAACAGC